Molecule: long non-coding RNA, 839 nt
Organism: Tympanuchus pallidicinctus (lesser prairie-chicken)
Lineage: Eukaryota; Metazoa; Chordata; Aves; Galliformes; Phasianidae
Exons: 2
Source: RefSeq, a predicted model, not a curated record
AGGCGGCCCGGGGAGAAAGCCCGGCGGAGAACCACACCGGUUUCCAAUUUUCAUCUCAAGGAACCUGCGAGAGGUAAUGGGGAGCUGCGACGGGGAAUGCCAAGCGGUAAGCGCGUGUUGCUGCAGCCACUUGCUGAGAGAAAAAGCCCUUCCCCAGAGGAAAGGAAGAAGCACUUGGAUUGCUUGGUUGCAGAGCACGGAGCAGGAGCCCGUGCAAAUCUGCUGGAGAGGAACCCGGUCCUCAGCACCAACACACUGCUGCCUUGAUUUGCUGGAAACAGUUGCUGAGUGAAGAUCAUUUUCCAACUGAUGUGAUUCACACAAACAAUUUUAGACUUUGCUACCCACCGUGCUUAGUUUUUCACAAGAGUAUUUUCCCAACCCUUUGGAAACACAGGAAGGACAAGUGCCUUGGAGUAGAGGCCCCAUGCAGCAGCAGGAACAGCAGUGAUCUGCUUCAAUGCCAGGCUGAUUGACUGCCAGGCUUUUCCUCCCUCUGGCACAGCAGAACCACCCAACCCAAAGUAUUUAUACCAUCAGAAAUCACCACCAGUCUGCAACCAGGUGAAACGAACACUAUAAAAAAAAAAAAAGCAUACCAUCAUCUUGAAAGAAAAUUUGUUCUAAUAGGCAAAAAUAUCAUGUAAAAAGUGGUAGUGGGUCACAGAUAGUGCAGCAACACCUGCAGCCGCAAAAGAACCCGUCUUUUGAACAGAAACCAUCCUCACUGACUUACAGGGUCACUGAAUGAGCAUUUUCAAUUUGCUUUGCAAUUAAAGCCAUUGCUAUUUUGGAAUAUGCUGCUCUCAAUAAGAGCCCCUACCUUAUGGCAGGUCCCA